RNAcentral lists this ribosomal RNA (350 nucleotides) under uncultured Ruminococcus sp. RNAcentral describes it as "bacterial SSU rRNA". It matches the Rfam family "Bacterial small subunit ribosomal RNA", at positions 25 to 358 of the family's 1533-position model. The record is from RNAcentral. Lineage: Bacteria; Bacillati; Bacillota; Clostridia; Eubacteriales; Oscillospiraceae.
CAGGACGAACGCUGGCGGCGUGCUUAACACAUGCAAGUCGAACGGGAAACCAUUUAUUGAAGCUUCGGCAGAUUUAGCUGGUUUCUAGUGGCGGACGGGUGAGUAACGCGUGGGUAACCUGCCUUAUACAGGGGGAUAACAGUCAGAAAUGACUGCUAAUACCGCAUAAGCGCACAGGACCGCAUGGUCUGGUGUGAAAAACUCCGGUGGUAUAAGAUGGACCCGCGUUGGAUUAGCUUGUUGGUGAGGUAACGGCUCACCAAGGCGACGAUCCAUAGCCGGCCUGAGAGGGUGAACGGCCACAUUGGGACUGAGACACGGCCCAGACUCCUACGGGAGGCAGCAGUAGG